AGUGAACGCUGGCGGUAGGCCUAACACAUGCAAGUCGAACGGCAGCACAGUAAGAGCUUGCUCUUACGGGUGGCGAGUGGCGGACGGGUGAGGAAUACAUCGGAAUCUACUUUUUCGUGGGGGAUAACGUAGGGAAACUUACGCUAAUACCGCAUACGACCUACGGGUGAAAGCAGGGGAUCUUCGGACCUUGCGCGAUUGAAUGAGCCGAUGUCGGAUUAGCUAGUUGGCGGGGUAAAGGCCCACCAAGGCGACGAUCCGUAGCUGGUCUGAGAGGAUGAUCAGCCACGCUGGAACUGAGACACGGUCCAGACUCCUACGGGAGGCAGCAGUGGGGAAUAUUGGACAAUGGGCGCAAGCCUGAUCCAGUCAUACCGCGUGGGUGAAGAGGGCCUUCGGGUUGUAAAGCCCUUUUGUUGGGAAAGAAAAGCAGCAGGUUAAUACCCCGCUGUUCUGACGGUACCCAAAGAAUAGGCACCGGCUAACUUCGUG
This 492-nucleotide ribosomal RNA is filed under the name uncultured bacterium. RNAcentral describes it as "partial 16S ribosomal RNA". It matches the Rfam family "Bacterial small subunit ribosomal RNA", at positions 29 to 507 of the family's 1533-position model. The record is from RNAcentral.